CAAUUAGGAAAAAUCAAACCAAAGUAGGAAACCUUGGCUUAACUUUCCUACUUCAAGUAGGAAUCCUUGUUCUUCUAGGAAUCCUCAUGUGAUUAGGAAUCCGUCUUCAAUUAGGAAUCCUCCUUCAUGUAAGCACUUUCCUACUUCAACUAGGAAACCUUGUUCAAGUAGGAAUCAUCAUCUUCAAGCCUUCAAAUUCGUCCAAACCUUGGCUCCAAAUAUGUGACAUGCAUUCCAAACUCCAUUUUGCUCCAAAAAGCUCCAUUUUGCUUCUUUUUGCACAC
RNAcentral lists this long non-coding RNA (284 nucleotides) under Malus domestica (apple). RNAcentral describes it as "long non-coding RNA (MDOM_LNC020078)". The record is from RNAcentral. Lineage: Eukaryota; Viridiplantae; Streptophyta; Magnoliopsida; Rosales; Rosaceae.